This 313-nucleotide long non-coding RNA is filed under the name Mytilus galloprovincialis (Mediterranean mussel). Lineage: Eukaryota; Metazoa; Mollusca; Bivalvia; Mytilida; Mytilidae. The record is from RNAcentral.
ACAUUAUGUUGAAUGUUUUAAGGAUUUCCUGGUAUCAGUAUGAAUCUUCUUAAGCAUUGAAAAGGUACGCUCACAGUCAGCAUUUGAAUUUGGAAUGGUACAAACUGCUGAUACAAUCUUUGUUAGAAGAGGAAACAUUGGUGUUCAAGUUAUUCAGUUGGUCAUCUUUGACACCUGUCUCCAGUACUGGUCUACUCGGGUUAAGUCUUGGAUGUAGGUUGGCCGUUCUGAUGCUGGAGUGACCUGGUAGGUUGUGAACUAUUUUUCAAGUUGUUGAUGUGGGUGCUCUGUUACAACUGAUGGUAAACGUCUA